GCCAAUUAGUGAUGUUUUGCUGAAAAUGGAUUUCCUGUGUAGAUGUGUCAAAACAACGGAGAAAACGAGGAUAAAGACGCUAGUUUUAAUUCCAUUUGUUCAGUAAAGUAAAUAUUUUUGUAUAGUAGUGUGAGAGAGAGCCACGUUAACUAGUUAACUUAAUUAGUGCUAACGCAGUGGACUGUACUUCGCGUCAUCCCGAGUAUGCGUGUGGAAACCGUAUUUUCACAAAGCACCUGAGUGAAUACUGCAGGUUGAAGUGCUCAGGGUUUGCCCCGCAUACCAGAUGAACCUACCUGCGCCGACGGACAGAGCCUCUGGAGGUGUAUGUGGACCACGCCUACCGGACCCAGGUGGACGUGGCUCAGACGACUAGCGAGCUCUACGGAGUUUCCAAGGGACCGUUUCCCCAAACCAAACACCGUUAAUGAACCAUGAAGCUGACAUCUGCAAGAAAGCAACAACUACAUUAGUAAGUUGUUUCUCUCCUCUUUCAUAUCACUGCUGUUGUCGAGGUACUGUGACGCUGAUGCGGUGUAAAUUGAUUUCCUGGAAGAUGUGAUGGAUGAAUAGAGAAUGAACAUCUUCAUCGCUGACCCCGACGCCGAUUGCUUCUCCCCCUGCCCGCUCAGAUGAUUGACAAGGCUGCUAACGAGUGCCGUCGCCAGUCGUGUUAUAAUUUCGCUAUGUUGAAAACAGCCGAGACUCGGUCCCAAGGUAAUGAGCUUCUGGAAGAGAGGGAGGAGAAAGGAGAGGAGAGGCUCACCCUGAGAGAGGUGAAAUAAAAGAGUCGGAGUAAAUAAAAAAGGAGACAAAGCACAUGAAAGUAGAUUAGAAAGAAGUUGAGAUUAUCAUUGACUUGAGAGGGGCCGUUUCAUUGUUUAUGUGCUGUUUUGAUGGAUGUCUUUCAAGCUGGGCUUUCUAAGCUGCAGUGUAUUCAUUUCUCAAUCGCUGAGAGGCCAGGCAUUUCAAAAGGCACCAUAAAACAUGUUAUUUGCAUUAAAAGUAUUUGAUUUAAAAGUGCUGCAUGGUGCAGAUUGCGUAUCAGAGUGUGCAUGUCUGUACAUAUUCAAGCUUCUGUGUGUGCUUUUAAAAAGCAUUCUGUGCAUGUUUCAUUUGUGUGAGUGUAAUUGUUUGAAUAUGCAUGUAGGCAUGUGUAAGAGUCAUGCGUGUGUUUGUGUGUGCAUGUAAUUUAUUCCUCCACAUGGGGGCUUAGGGCAGGUCUCUCUGUGUUUAUUCGGAUGAUUAGGAGGUGACAAUAUGUUGCUGAUGAUCAGCUUUAUAAUCAGCUACCAUCACAGAUUAUUCUAACCUUGAUUAAAGACCUGCAGUCUCCCUAUCAUCUCCCAGCUCAGCCUAACAAGAUAGGAUGACGCUCUGAUUAAUGCCAGAGAGAGCCUAGUCAUGACACAAAGGACAGGCCUGCAUCACCACAGGAGGACUGGGGAAGCUGUCACGCAUCAUACUUUGUUGCCUUUCUGAUUUGUCGGCUUGAUACAGGACCUUUGUCUUAAUUAUUUUUCUUUUACAAAUUAAUCUGUGUGAGACUGAUUCAGUUUUCAUUAUCAAUGUUGUUGACGUCUGCCAUGAUUAGAUAUCAAAAGGAACGUUGCGCCAGAAUGUGACUGCUAUGCAUCCAUGUGCCAACAUAACCACUGUCUCUCCCCUUUCACAAUAACUCAUAAACUCAUCAGCAAACUUUCUUUUGUCUGACAAUCAUUAGUGUGAUGUGUGCGCAUGCACUUGUGUGUGUGCGGGGGUUUGUUUUUUUUCCUGGCAAA
Monopterus albus (swamp eel) is the source of this 1781-nucleotide long non-coding RNA. RefSeq lists it as uncharacterized. The transcript is spliced from 4 exons. Lineage: Eukaryota; Metazoa; Chordata; Actinopteri; Synbranchiformes; Synbranchidae. The record is from RefSeq and is a predicted model, not a curated record.